GACGAACGCUGGCGGCGUGCUUAACACAUGCAAGUCGAACGGUAAGGCCCUUCGGGGUACACGAGUGGCGAACGGGUGAGUAACACGUGGGUGAUCUGCCCUGCACUUCGGGAUAAGCCUGGGAAACUGGGUCUAAUACCGGAUAGGACUCCUGGCUUCAUGGUUGGGGGUGGAAAGCUUUUGCGGUGUGGGAUGGGCCCGCGGCCUAUCAGCUUGUUGGGGGGGUAAUGGCCUACCAAGGGGACGCCGGGUGACCGGCCUGGGAGGGUGACCGGACACACUGGGACUGGGAUACGGCACAGACUCCUACGGGAGGCAGCAGUGGGGAAUAUUGCACUAUGGGCGCAAGCCUGAUGCAGCGACGCCGCGUGAGGGAUGACGGCCUUCGGGUUGUCAACCUCUUUCCGCUAUGACGAAGCGCAAGUGACGCUAGUAGCAGAAGAAGGACCGGCCAACUACGUGCCAGCCGCCGCAGUAA
This 478-nucleotide ribosomal RNA is filed under the name uncultured bacterium. RNAcentral describes it as "partial 16S ribosomal RNA". It matches the Rfam family "Bacterial small subunit ribosomal RNA", at positions 28 to 523 of the family's 1533-position model. The record is from RNAcentral.